CCUCUGUCCCGCCCAGGCAGCCGGACCCGCGUUGAGGAGCCGGCUCGUCGCUCCAGGGAAGGCCGGAGGGGACCCCAAGCCGCUGGGAGCAGCGCCCCCUCCCGGCUCGGCCACGGACGGGGCUUCCCUCCAAUAGAAUGAGCUCAGGCCAGGCCCGGGGAGGGCAGUCCCGACACUGAUCAGCACCGGACAGCUCCUGCCCAGUGAACGUUUCUCCCAACAUUCUAAGAGGGAAGAAAUGCUGUGUGAUAGAGGCCAGAGGAAAGGCGGGGCACAGGAGGAAGGAAACAAGCACUAAUUAAGCGCCUACUGUGUGCCAGACUGUGCUAAGCACUUACAAAUAAGAUCUCAUCUGAUCCCCCUCACAGUAGGGACUACUGGGACUGUUGUCCCCCCCUCCCCCCAUAUUACAUUUUAGGAAACGGGCAAAUAAAGAUAAAGGAAGACUUGAGGGGAUGAAAAAGGACAGGUCAGGAGAAGGGGGGUGAAGAGGAAGGGAAGGAGCUAAGCGCGUGUCCAUCAGGGCAGUGGCUGGACAGAGAAAUGGGGAGGGACGGGUCUAAUCAAAGCUGUUUGCCCCGUGGAAAGAAAUUAGUUCAGAGAACUGAGGAGAAAAUGGGCAGGACAAAGGGAGCAGAAACAAGACAACAAUUUGUCGAUUUUAUAAAGAAAAAUAACAGUGAAAGAUCCAAGAAUUCUGCCCAGGGCGGUGGCUAAGCAGGACUCCAGAGCAGGUCAGACGGAGCUCUCCACGUGCUGGUGCACAGGACACCGGGUGCUGAAAAGGACAGACAUUGUGCGCUCUGGGCCUCGGCUUUGUCCCACUUGACUUCCUUGUUACAAAGUUGUUGUUUUUCCUUUCUCUCAGUUUCCUCUCUGGGAGAGGGGUUUGGAAAGGGGAGGGAGUGAGGGAAACAUCUUUAUGGCAAUAAGUGAUUCCAAGGUUUAAAAGGUGGGGAGGGGGGAACAGGAGAUCAGAAGGAAGUGUGGGCAAGCAGGUCAGCUUUGAAAACAAUGUGCAAAAUGUACCGCAUGCUUUACUUUUUAAAAAAGUAAACAAUAAAAGAGAUUCACGGAUUCAUAAAGAA
Antechinus flavipes (yellow-footed antechinus) is the source of this 1088-nucleotide long non-coding RNA. RefSeq lists it as uncharacterized. The transcript is spliced from 2 exons. The record is from RefSeq and is a predicted model, not a curated record. NCBI's taxonomy places the organism in Eukaryota, Metazoa, Chordata, Mammalia, Dasyuromorphia, Dasyuridae.